This 253-nucleotide ribosomal RNA is filed under the name uncultured bacterium. RNAcentral's name for it is "partial 16S ribosomal RNA". It matches the Rfam family "Bacterial small subunit ribosomal RNA", at positions 524 to 776 of the family's 1533-position model. The record is from RNAcentral.
UACGUAGGGUGCGAGCGUUAAUCGGAAUUACUGGGCGUAAAGGGCGCGUAGGCGGCGCAACAAGUCACUUGUGAAAUCUCCGGGCUUAACCCGGAGCGGUCAAGUGAUACUGUCGUGCUAGAGUGCGGAAGGGGCUACUGGAAUUCUCGGUGUAGCGGUGAAAUGCGUAGAUAUCGAGAGGAACACCUGCGGCGAAGGCGGGUUGCUGGGCCGACACUGACGCUGAUGCGCGAAAGCCAGGGGAGCGAACGGG